AGCCUCUUGUAAAAAAAUAAGAGGUGAAGCCUGCCCGGUGACUCACGAGUUCAACGGCCGCGGUACCCUGACCGUGCUAAGGUAGCAUAUAAUAUGCCCUUUAAUUGGGGGCUAGAAUGAAUGGACAAACGAAAGUAUGGCUGUCUCUUCUAUACAAUUAUAAUUUUACCUUCAGGUGAAAAGGCCUGAGUUAUACUAAAAGACAAAAAGACCCCGUAGAGCUUUAUUAUAAAAACAUAAAAUAAAUAUACAAAUAUAAUUUCUUUUAUAAAAUACAUAAUUUUACUGGGGCGGUAUAAGAGCAAAUAACCCUCUUAUUUAUAUUAAGGAAACUAACCGAUCCAUUGAUCCUUACUAGAUUAAAGAAACAAGCUACCUCGGGGAUAACAGGCUUAUUUCUUUUAAGAGUACAUAUCGAAAAAGAAGUUUGGCACCUCGAUGUUGGCUUAGGGGCUCCAAGGAGUAGCAGAAGCCCCUGUGGCUGGUUUGUUCAACCAUUAAACCCCU
This 507-nucleotide ribosomal RNA is filed under the name Praxillella cf. gracilis 2 GK-2017. RNAcentral's name for it is "partial 16S ribosomal RNA". It matches the Rfam family "Bacterial large subunit ribosomal RNA", at positions 1817 to 2597 of the family's 2925-position model. Lineage: Eukaryota; Metazoa; Annelida; Polychaeta; Maldanidae. The record is from RNAcentral.